AAGCUGCCAGAGCACGACAUUCCUGAAAUCCUCCAUGACAGGCUCAUUGUUCACCCUCCAUCCCGAAAGGAUGAAAAUGCCAAGCCUAUGGUCUUUCUUGCCUCAGCCACAAUAUCAGCAGUCUCUUGGGCUGGCGUUGCAGAUUUAGCCAGGGAAUAGCUAAGUGCCUGCGUGGAAGACGUAAACAAGGCAGGGACCACCUUCAAAUUGGAUGAUGGCCUCCUACUGCAUGACAUCUCUGCUACAUGCUGCUUCCUGUAUGCUCGUGAGGAAGCCUCCCUCCGCUACCUCUGUCAACUGAGCCCCCUCCUGUAUGCUUGUGAGGAAGCCUACUGCCACCUCUGUCACCUGACAAACCAUCUCCUGCAGGCCACCUGAACUAAAGUCGGCAUCUUCUGCAUCGAGCUGGGUCUACGCUCUCCUUCACUCUCUUGUUCUCUCUGUCUUUCUCAUCUAAAACUCCUACAUCUGCUUCCCUGUCCUCUCCUUCAAAAAUAGAAAAUUCAAGACUUUAAAGCUGUUGUAUUGAUUUAAAACAAUGACGCAUCUAUAAUUGCGACAAACUUUGUAGUUGGCUUACUUCUCUUUCUACUAUGCUGUACAUCUGUUGCAGAUUGAGGGGGUGGAUUCAUGCAAUUUAUUCUGGUAGGUACUGCCUCGGAGGACUGAACCCUGUUGAAAGAUACAUUUUUACCAGAAAACUAUUUUUAUUGACAAAGAUUAGCUGUACCUUUUAAUCAGAAUAAAACACUCUUCAAAGUGCUCCUCGCACAAAUUAUAACCCCCUUUCUUCAGGUCCUCGAAGGACUUCUGCAGACAUGUCCCUACACCUGACGUUUCUCAGCCAUAUCUUCCUCCUGAGUAAUUGCAAUCUCAGGUUUAAUCUCAGAUUUUAUUGAAUUCACACAAAAAAAUGUAAUUUCAGGCUUUGUUUUCCAUUUUAUGGAAAUAUGACUGACUCUCUUCUCUCUCGAGCCCUGCGAGAGCAGCUUCUACCCUUUCCAGGACCGGAAGAGAUUGUUGUGUGUAUAAAGUUUAUGAUUUGUGUUCUCAAUCCUUGUUCUCUUAUACCUCUACACACUACACUGAAGUUUUAAAUAGUCCUUUAGAUGUUCCUGAGUCUGAGGACACCUCCUGUCACCUGAACCCCCUGCAGACCACCUGAACUGCAUUAGGCAUCAUUUGCUGGAGUUGGGUCUAUGCUCAUGGUCUCCUGUUCUCUUCCUCACCUCUUCUGGAUGUUGGCCUAUGCUUAAG
RNAcentral lists this long non-coding RNA (1257 nucleotides) under Salmo salar (Atlantic salmon). Its description in RNAcentral is "lncRNA (ENSSSAG00000090814.1, ENSSSAG00020082479.1, ENSSSAG00075016295.1)". The record is from RNAcentral. Lineage: Eukaryota; Metazoa; Chordata; Actinopteri; Salmoniformes; Salmonidae.